GCGAAGGUGGCGGAAUUGGUAGGGACGCGCUAGCUUCAGGUGUUAGUGUCCUUACGGACGUGGGGGUUCAAGUCCCCCCCCUCGCACCA
Molecule: transfer RNA, 89 nt
Filed under: Salmonella enterica subsp. enterica serovar Dublin
Lineage: Bacteria; Pseudomonadati; Pseudomonadota; Gammaproteobacteria; Enterobacterales; Enterobacteriaceae
Description: tRNA-Leu
Rfam family: tRNA
About the family: Transfer RNA (tRNA) molecules are approximately 80 nucleotides in length. Their secondary structure includes four short double-helical elements and three loops (D, anti-codon, and T loops).
Source: RNAcentral